AAGUCGUAACAAGGUAUCCGUAGGUGAACCUGCGGAUGGAUCAUUGACAAAAAGGGAUUUCUAUUCCCAUUCACACCCUUGUGCACUGUCAUUGAACGUAAACACCAUUUGGGUGAAUAUUCUCUCUCCUCUUUUUGGGCUGCCGUUUCUUUAUGUUUGUGCGGUCGCAGAAACAAUAAAUAAGCGACAGCGGACAAGAAAGGGAAAGGGAACCUUUCGGUCGGGAGCGUGUGUGUUCCUUCCUCGCGCUGUUUGUGCGGGGAAAGGGUGCAUUACCUGCCUCGGAAGUGUUCACCCAAUGGUGGAAAUUCCGUAAGCAACCCCAAAAAAGAGUGGCUGAAACCUCGGAAAUCCGAGAUACAGAUAUAAUUCAAAAAGAUAUAACUUCUAACAAUGGAUCUCUCGGCUCUC
RNAcentral lists this unclassified non-coding RNA (411 nucleotides) under fungal sp. Its description in RNAcentral is "partial internal transcribed spacer region". The stretch from base 1 to 46 matches the Rfam family "Eukaryotic small subunit ribosomal RNA", at positions 1786 to 1831 of the family's 1831-position model. The record is from RNAcentral. Lineage: Eukaryota; Fungi.